UCCGGAAUUAUUGGGCGUAAAGCGUCCGCAGGGGGCACUUCACGUCUGUCGUCAAAGACUGGGGCUUAACCCUGGAAAGGCGGUGGAAACUGAAGCGCUAGAGUGCGGUAGGGGUAGAGGGAAUUCCCGGUGUAGCGGUGAAAUGCGUAGAGAUCGGGAAGAACAUCGGUGGCGAAAGCGCUCUACUGGACCGCAACUGACACUCAGGGACGAAAGCUAGGGGAGCGAAUGGG
RNAcentral lists this ribosomal RNA (233 nucleotides) under uncultured bacterium. Its description in RNAcentral is "partial 16S ribosomal RNA". It matches the Rfam family "Bacterial small subunit ribosomal RNA", at positions 544 to 776 of the family's 1533-position model. The record is from RNAcentral.